RNAcentral lists this ribosomal RNA (253 nucleotides) under uncultured bacterium. RNAcentral's name for it is "partial 16S ribosomal RNA". It matches the Rfam family "Bacterial small subunit ribosomal RNA", at positions 524 to 776 of the family's 1533-position model. The record is from RNAcentral.
UACGAAGGGGGCUAGCGUUGCUCGGAAUUAUUGGGCGUAAAGCGCACGUAGGCGGUUCGUUAAGUCGGAUGUGAAAGCCCUCGGCUCAACUGAGGAAGUGCACCCGAAACUGGCGAGCUUGAGUACGAAAGAGGAUCGCGGAAUUCCCGGUGUAGAGGUGAAAUUCGUAGAUAUCGGGAGGAACACCGGUGGCGAAGGCGGCGAUCUGGGUCGAUACUGACGCUGAGGUGCGAAAGCGUGGGGAGCAAACAGG